CCAUUGCAGGCAAAACAGGCUCACCUUGGGGAAAUUAAUUUAUUGCCAAUUCGUGUAUAUAAAUAUAAUUACCAAUUUGGGUAUUGGGAAAUAAAGCAACAAAUAUUAAAACACAUGGGAAAACUCCUUCCCUCCCUGUUUCCCAGGCUCACUUCGUUCUUUCUCUCCUGUCCUACCAGCUCCUUACCACCACAGGUCACACUCAGUCCCUUCAGCGAGGAAAAGAGUGGGGCAAGGGGGGGACGUUACAAUCAGCGCAUAGCAGUUUCUCUAUGAUACUCCUUUUGCCUCAGAGUUUUCCUCUGCUCUGGCACAGGUCCUCAGAGGUUGCAGGGAGUGUCUGCUCUGCCGUGGAGCGCUUCCUCUUCCUCCUUCUCUUCCUCCUCCGUGGAAGCCAGCUGGCACUGGCUGUGUCCAGUACAGUGGCCUUUUCUCACAAAGCCACCCCUGCAGCCCCCCACUGCCAACACCUUGACAUCUGUACCCACUGCGGGACUCAGAGUUACGGAAUCACAGAAUAACUUGGAAAGGACCUUUGGAGGUCAUCUGGGGCCAUCUUCCUCUGCCUUCCUCCUGCCAAAAAGACCAGUUUUGCAGGUCGAUCAGGCUGCUACCAGCAUUGCCCAAGCAAAUUUUUGAUGUCUCCAAAGGCAAUUAUUCUGCAUCUUCUUUAGACAACUUAACUUACCCCAUUAUUUGAGCAUCAUUGCUGUGAAGAAUUUUUCCUUAUAUUUACUUAAAAUUUCCCCCAAGAGCAGUCCAGUUCUGUUUAGCCUGUAACUACCAACAGGUAGUACAAGGCAGCAAUUUGAUUCCUCCAUGGCUGCCUUUCCAGUUUAAAGAGAGACAAUCUUGUAGAGGACAGAAACAGUAAGGUUGGUGUUGAGAGAUAUCAGUUGUUUAGCUUAAAUAAGUAAGUUUUAAUUAGAAUAAAUUACUUAGGGUUAUGAUAUAAUGUGAUUUAUUCUGUUUGCUUAGCUUUGCUUAGCAUGAGUAGCUGCAGAUUUGCCAAAGCCUUUAGGCCGCAAUAGUUAAUUUUCUUAGUAAUUUUCCUAUCAGCUGGUUCAGUGCUGUGUUUAGUCUUUCAGUGUAAGAAAAAUAUCGAUAAUACCCUGAUGUUUUGGUAUUGUUUUCCCUAAGUCUGGGACUUUUCAGUUCCCCAUGUUCUGCCAGCGAGUGCAGGUGCACAAGAAGCAUAAACGAGAAGAUAAGGAGGCUACAACCACCAGCAGAGACUGCAAAUCAACAAGAUCAGAGCAGUCAACGGCCUGACUGCCUGGACACAGAGAAAGAAUCCGGUACGGUGUUAGAAUACCGCAGACCAAAAAUCACCAUUGGACUAAAAGACAUGUGAAGAGCAUGUGAGGAGUGGGUGUAUACAUCGCAAGGAUAUAAUUGCAAGGAAGCCCGACAAGACCACUGGGACUGAGUAAAUAAUUGUCAGAGGACUUUGAAGGCUGAAGCCUUGUCCACCUGUGUGCAAAGCUUUCAGAAUAUAUUCAACUACUUUUCUGUGAGACCAAAGGACACUUCACUGAGAAAAAAAAUAUCUCACCUUGUAGAAAGUUUGUCACUGGAAGAUAUCAGUUUCUCAUACCUGAAUGAAUUAAUGGAAACGGAUGGAUUCCAAUAGGCUUAUAUUUUCCUGAAACUUUCAAAAAAGGACCUUCGUCCAUGCAGAAAAUCCUAUCUUCAGCCUCCAGGGGACUGAGAUUUUGGCAGCCUCCAGGCCCUAACGCUACUCACUACUGCCAGUUUAGCUGAUCUGCAUUUGACGCCCUUUUCUUCAAGUUCACAAGCUGAUGUCCACAAGCUCCUGUCUAGAAGCCGUGGUGAAGAACAUAAGCCAGUAGAUGGGGUGUGCUGGGUAUGCAGAAGAGAGAAGAAGUGACUGGGGAAGAACUGGCCGGGCUGUAUUCUUUGCAGCUAUCAGGUCUGAGGUGGCCUUGCCACCCAGCUGCUAGAAACAAAAAUCACAUUUUUCCAUUGACUGGGUCUUCUGCUUCUGGAAAACUGUCUACCUUCCAUGGCAUGUGCAAUUUGUAGAGGAAUUCUGAAAAAAAUAAUCAUGUAUUUACAUCUAAAAUGAUAAGCGUUCUGGUUAAUAUUGUGUCCUUCUGAUUGACACUGCUGAGGGUAUGCUGAAUUUGUUUUGCAUAGCAUCUCUGUUUUCAACAUGGAACGAGUUUUUGCACUGGUUGCAGUUCACUGCUGCACCAGCUGACAGGGAAGGCAAUGAGGGAAGCGAUGGCAACUUGGCGUUUGGUAAAUC
Chroicocephalus ridibundus (black-headed gull) is the source of this 2272-nucleotide long non-coding RNA. RefSeq lists it as uncharacterized. NCBI's taxonomy places the organism in Eukaryota, Metazoa, Chordata, Aves, Charadriiformes, Laridae. The transcript has 5 exons. The record is from RefSeq and is a predicted model, not a curated record.